GUGCUUAACACAUGCAAGUCGAACGCUGAAGCUUGGGUGCUUGCAUCUGGGUGGAUGAGUGGCGAACGGGUGAGUAAUACGUGAGUAACCUGCCCUUGACUCUGGGAUAAGCCUGGGAAACUGGGUCUAAUACUGGAUACUACACUCUCUCGCAUGGGGGUGUGUGGAAAGGGUUUUACUGGUUUUGGAUGGGCUCACGGCCUAUCAGCUUGUUGGUGGGGUAAUGGCCUACCAAGGCGACGACGGGUAGCCGGCCUGAGAGGGUGACCGGCCACACUGGGACUGAGACACGGCCCAGACUCCUACGGGAGGCAGCAGUGGGGAAUAUUGCACAAUGGGCGAAAGCCUGAUGCAGCGACGCCGCGUGAGGGAUGACGGCCUUCGGGUUGUAAACCUCUUUCAGCACGGAAGAAGCGAAAGUGACGGUACGUGCAGAAGAAGCGCCGGCUAACUACGUGCCAGCAGCCGCGGUAAUACGUAGGGCGCAAGCGUUGUCCGGAAUUAUUGGGCGUAAAGAGCUCGUAGGCGGUUUGUCGCGUCUGCUGUGAAAGCCCGGGGCUUAACCCCGUGGUGUGCAGUGGGUACGGGCAGACUAGAGUGCAGUAGGGGAGACUGGAAUUCCUGGUGUAGCGGUGAAAUGCGCAGAUAUCAGGAGGAACACCGAUGGCGAAGGCAGGUCUCUGGGCUGUUACUGACGCUGAGGAGCGAAAGCAUGGGGAGCGAACAGGAUUAGAUACCCUGGUAGUCCAUGCCGUAAACGUUGGGCACUAGGUGUGGGGGACAUUCCACGUUUUCCGCGCCGUAGCUAACGCAUUAAGUGCCCCGCCUGGGGAGUA
This 836-nucleotide ribosomal RNA is filed under the name Micrococcineae bacterium ACEMC 20-6. RNAcentral describes it as "bacterial SSU rRNA". It matches the Rfam family "Bacterial small subunit ribosomal RNA", at positions 44 to 882 of the family's 1533-position model. Lineage: Bacteria; Bacillati; Actinomycetota; Actinomycetes; Micrococcales. The record is from RNAcentral.